GGGGAUUUAGUCUAGUGGUAUGAUAUUUGCUUAGGGAGCAAAAGGUCCCGAGUUCAAUUCUCGGAAUCCCCA
Non-coding RNA from Triticum aestivum (bread wheat), 72 nucleotides. The record is from Rfam. NCBI's taxonomy places the organism in Eukaryota, Viridiplantae, Streptophyta, Magnoliopsida, Poales, Poaceae.